Hyalella azteca is the source of this 1556-nucleotide long non-coding RNA. RefSeq lists it as uncharacterized. Lineage: Eukaryota; Metazoa; Arthropoda; Malacostraca; Amphipoda; Hyalellidae. The transcript is spliced from 2 exons. The record is from RefSeq and is a predicted model, not a curated record.
CCUAAUAGACGAGGUCUUGGACCUAGUAGACGAGGUCUUGGACCGAGUAGACGAGGUCUUGGAUUAGGUAGACGUUGCCGGGAGUACGGCAGAGUAUAGCGGCGAGCACAUCCAGUUAUUCAAAUCAGGCGAAAUUUUUACGACAAAUUUUCAAUUGUUUUGAAUGUAUUUUGUUCUAAGUUCUACAAUAGUCAUAUCAUGAACUUAGAUACGAUGGGAAUUAGUUUUUCAUUUAAUAAAUAAGUUAAUGUUGAGAGCUAAAUUUAAAUCUCCCAACUCAACAGUAUUUGGAAAACGUCAAAUCUAACGUAAAUGCUAUCCUGCCAUUUUUUUAUUUAUAUACCAUCACGAUCAUGCGUCGCGAAAUCAGUUUUGUUGGGAUCGAAUAUUACGAUAUAUUUUUUAGGAAAUGAAAAGUUGCAUUGGAAUUAAUUGGGAUGUUUUUUAUGUAAUCUUUGCUGCAACUUUUUUAUCCUCGAAGACACGAAGUACGACUGGUAGACUUGUUUGUACGGGGCUUGUAGAGAAGCAAAUUUGAAUGUUAUUUCUUGUGUCCAUUAAUAGGGAAAGAAAAUAAAGAUCUUAUGGGGUACGAACAUCUUAACCGGUAUGGCAAAUCUUUCUUCGGCUGGGGGUUGAAGUACGAGUUUAGCCGCCGGUAACUAAAAAUUUGUGGAAAUUAAAAAAAAAAACGAGAGUGAACUUUUAUUCAUAACCAUCGAAGAUGUGAAUUGUGUUCACUGUUCCUUUGAAUCUCGACUUCAUGGCAAGAUGAAAGUUCUCUCCUUAGAUUUCCUGGAGCAAACAUGUAAAUUGAACGGGUUCACUGAGUGAUUCUAUUCGUUUUGCGCCCUGCUGAAAAUAUUCUGUACACAUGGCGAGUGUAAAUUCAGUUUAGAGGAAUUAUAGACGAAUUAUAGAGGAAUAGAGGAAUUAUAGACGAAGCUUCAGUGGCCUACAUUGAUUCGCCGCUGUAUAAUUGAGAUAACGAUUCAUUAUGCUGUUUUGUUCUUGAAUGCUAUAUUCACUAUUCGUCGUGAUUCGAGCCUCGUUGGGAAGAUAUUGACCGUUUUCUAGAGUCAAAUAAUUUGUACGUGCAAGAAGAAAAAAACCGUUUUUGUGAUAACUAUGUACACCCAAUUACGCACGUCGGCAUAUGAAGAUUUUUUUCUGAAUCCAUUUACAAUAAAUAUAACGUAUUUAACAUGGUAGCUUCAUAAUUCAUAAUGACUACUAUGUUUAUUUGUUCAAAAUCGCUCAUGUACACAACAUAUUUACUUCGUAAACAACGUAUAGAAUGUGCCAGGGUGUUUUGUGUGACUUUGAGACGGAUGUAUCAAAAUACCAUUCACAUUGACAGAGCAUUUUCUGUCUGCCGUUUGGGACUCACAUAAAUUCUAAUCAUAUUCUUCAUGUUUUGCUUUCUGUGUUUUCUUGGAUCUGGAAAUGAUUCAUGAUAAUUUUCCGUAAUUUGAGAAAUUCGUGCUUACUGAACCGAUGUAUCUGUGUACCUAAUUUUACAAAGGAUAAAUGAACGCUUCCAACAAUUGUGUGAA